Molecule: ribosomal RNA, 301 nt
Filed under: uncultured bacterium
Lineage: Bacteria
Description: partial 16S ribosomal RNA
Rfam family: Bacterial small subunit ribosomal RNA
Source: RNAcentral
CAGCCGCCGCGGGAAUACGUAGGGCGCAAGCGUUGUCCGGAAUUAUUGGGCGUAAAGAGCUCGUAGGCGGUUUGUCGCGUCUGCUGUGAAAACUCGAGGCUCAACCUCGGGCUUGCAGUGGGUACGGGCAGACUAGAGUGCGGUAGGGGAGACUGGAAUUCCUGGUGUAGCGGUGGAAUGCGCAGAUAUCAGGAGGAACACCGAUGGCGAAGGCAGGUCUCUGGGCCGCAACUGACGCUGAGGAGCGAAAGCAUGGGGAGCGAACAGGAUUAGAUACCCCCGUAGUCCCUGUCUCUUAUAA